This 429-nucleotide ribosomal RNA is filed under the name Verrucomicrobiota bacterium. RNAcentral describes it as "Verrucomicrobia bacterium partial 16S ribosomal RNA". It matches the Rfam family "Bacterial small subunit ribosomal RNA", at positions 355 to 776 of the family's 1533-position model. The record is from RNAcentral. Lineage: Bacteria; Pseudomonadati; Verrucomicrobiota.
UAGGGAAUCUUCGGCAAUGGGGGGAACCCUGACCGAGCAACGCCGCGUGAGUGAAGAAGGUUUUCGGAUCGUAAAGCUCUGUUGUUAAGGAAGAACGAGUGUGAGAAUGGAAAGUUCAUGCUGUGACGGUACUUAACCAGAAAGGGACGGCUAAAUACGUGCCAGCAGCCGCGGUAAUACGUAUGGGGCGAGCGUUGUCCGGAAUUAUUGGGCGUAAAGGGUACGUAGGCGGUCUAUUAAGUCAGGUGUGAAAGCGUGAGGCUUAACCUCAUUAAGCACUUGAAACUGCUAGACUUGAGUGAAGGAGAGGAAAGUGGAAUUCCUAGUGUAGCGGUGAAAUGCGUAGAUAUUAGGAGGAAUACCGGUGGCGAAGGCGACUUUCUGGACUUUUACUGACGCUCAGGUACGAAAGCGUGGGGAGCAAACAGG